Long non-coding RNA from Chloebia gouldiae (Gouldian finch), 1623 nucleotides. The record is from Ensembl. NCBI's taxonomy places the organism in Eukaryota, Metazoa, Chordata, Aves, Passeriformes, Passeridae.
CGCAGCGGGGAAUCCCCCGCCCCGCCGCAGCCCCGGGCGGUGCGAGCGGUGGCGACGCCGAGGGGGACGUGGACCCUUGGUAGAGAAGUGGGAGUGAAGACCCUCGGACCAGUAUCCCGUGGGCUGGACCUCCCCGUGUGGGGAUGGCAGCCGCUGGACCCUCGUUCUAGGACGUGGGGACGGGACCAGCAUCUCUGCAUCGCAUCCCUGCUCCAGAGGCGGCGGGGGCUGACCCCCGCUGUGGGCACGGCGACGGGAUCCCGAGGGUCUGGAUGUGGCUGUGCCGUUGCCGUGAGACUGCCCCUCGGAAGCGGGGCAGAUUACCUGGGGAGGUGGGAGGCACUUCUUCAUCUUCGCCUUGUGAUACAGGUUUUCCAAGCCACAGUCUUUUGGAGGAUUGAAUUGUUCUUGCAGCUGAAGUCCCUUGCCAGAAAGUUCUACCAUCUGAUUGCUUCUUGUGUAUGGAGAGUAAUAGGACACUGAGACAGUGAAGCUGUUUUUACCAUGUGAGGCAGCAGUUUCCCUUUUCAUACCACCAUGGCAGCUGAACAGCAUGGAAUGAGAAAAGGCUCAGUCUCUGUAAUGAAGUCAAUAUCUCCUCAUCUCUGAAGAAUAAGAGGAAUUUCAACCAAGAGAGCAGACUGGCUUACUUUAAUUUCUCAUUUUAAUUUCUAUUUUGUGUUCCUCAACACGUACAUUACCUGCAUUUUUGGCAUUCACUAGGGGAUAAAUUAGCUCAAGAUCCUGCUUAUAUGACUACUUCAGCAUUUAUAUGUUCUGAUCAACCUAUACUUGACAUGUAACCCAUACUCCUGAAUUUGUUGUAAAGACUUCUAUGGUACUUGUGUUCUCCAGACCAGAUCCUGUUUUGUUAUUUCAGUUUAAAACCACAGCACUUGCACUGAAACCUUAACAUUUUAUAUCUCCAUCCACAUCUAUGAAAUUUGUGAUUCACUUGAAGUAUUUUGUAUUUGCACUUGAAUAAGUUGAAUAUGACUGUAAAGAAAUUUAUUGUGUAGAUUUACUCCACCAAAUAACCACAAUGGUUAUAAAUCUUUCAAAACUCAGGUUAAAUGAAUUUAUAGUCUGAUGCUGAUAUUUUAAGGCACAAGUUCUGGAAGCUGUUUUCUAAUAGACCUCAGGUUACUAUUAUGUAGAUUUUGCUCAUUUUUACUUGACUGUAAUAGACAGACUUAAUUUGUGUCUUCUGAAUUUUAUGUCAUAAAUGCAAUCAUAUAGAAACUUCACAUUUGAACAGAGUGGGACCUUUGACUAAGAGGAAGCAUAAGUUACAUGCAUUGAAAGACAAGGGCAUUCAAAUAGUUUCUACUAGUCAUUCCUCAAAAGAUAAAAUUAUCUGAUCAAAUAUUUAAACCAUCUUGAAAUGUUCAACAAAACUGUAUGGGUGAAAACUGCAGUUGACUUCUGAUUAACUUUGUAAUUUUAUAAAUUUUCCCCUCAUUAAUUCUUUACAUAAAUGUGGUUAGCAAAAGGCUAAGUUAGACUAAUUCAGGCAGGCAUGUUUUAAGGUAACAUCUAUAUUUUAAAAGUUUAUAAUUUUCUCAAUAAUGUGAAAAAAGCCUUGGGCAACAUAAUAAACACUCUAAUUAACAGUCUAAGACA